GCCCGCUUGGCGGAAUCGGUAGACGCCAGGGACUUAAAAUCCCUUGCCCGCAAGGGCGUGCCGGUUCGAGUCCGGCAGCGGGCACCA
This 87-nucleotide transfer RNA is filed under the name Aerophototrophica crusticola. RNAcentral describes it as "tRNA-Leu". It matches the Rfam family "tRNA". From Rfam's summary of the family: Transfer RNA (tRNA) molecules are approximately 80 nucleotides in length. Their secondary structure includes four short double-helical elements and three loops (D, anti-codon, and T loops). Further hydrogen bonds mediate the characteristic L-shaped molecular structure. tRNAs have two regions of fundamental functional importance: the anti-codon, which is responsible for specific mRNA codon recognition, and the 3' end, to which the tRNAs corresponding amino acid is attached (by aminoacyl-tRNA synthetases). tRNAs cope with the degeneracy of the genetic code in two manners: having more than one tRNA (with a specific anti-codon) for a particular amino acid; and 'wobble' base-pairing, i.e. permitting non-standard base-pairing at the 3rd anti-codon position. Lineage: Bacteria; Pseudomonadati; Pseudomonadota; Alphaproteobacteria; Rhodospirillales; Rhodospirillaceae. The record is from RNAcentral.